CAAGCGUGGAUGAUGUGGAUUAAUUCGAUGCAACGCGAAGAACCUUACUACCCUUGACAUGUCCGGAACUUGCCAGAGAUGGCUUGGUGCCCCGAAAGGGAACCGGAACACAGGUGCUGCAUGGCUGUCGUCAGCUCGUGUCGUGAGAUGUUGGGUUAAGUCCCGCAACGAGCGCAACCCUUGUCCUUAGUUGCUACGCAAGAGCACUCUAAGGAGACUGCCGGUGACAAACCGGAGGAAGGUGGGGAUGACGUCAAGUCCUCAUGGCCCUUAUGGGUAGGGCUUCACACGUCAUACAAUGGUCGGUACAGAGGGUUGCCAAGCCGCGAGGUGGAGCCAAUCCCACAAAGCCGAUCGUAGUCCGGAUUGUUCUCUGCAACUCGAGAGCAUGAAGUCGGAAUCGCUAGUAAUCGCAGGUCAGCAUACUGCGGUGAAUACGUUCCCGGGUCUU
RNAcentral lists this ribosomal RNA (451 nucleotides) under uncultured Thiobacillus sp. RNAcentral's name for it is "bacterial SSU rRNA". It matches the Rfam family "Bacterial small subunit ribosomal RNA", at positions 926 to 1382 of the family's 1533-position model. The record is from RNAcentral. Lineage: Bacteria; Pseudomonadati; Pseudomonadota; Betaproteobacteria; Nitrosomonadales; Thiobacillaceae.